RNAcentral lists this ribosomal RNA (456 nucleotides) under uncultured bacterium. Its description in RNAcentral is "bacterial SSU rRNA". It matches the Rfam family "Bacterial small subunit ribosomal RNA", at positions 39 to 518 of the family's 1533-position model. The record is from RNAcentral.
CUGCGGCAGGCCUAAUACAUGCAAGUCGAACGGUAACAUAGGAAAAGCUUGCUUUCCUGAUGACGAGUGGCGGACGGGUGAGUAAAGUUGGGAAGCUACCUGAGUAGAGGGGGACAACAGUUGGAAACGACUGCUAAUACCGCAUACAGCCUGAGGGUGAAAGCAGCGAUGCGCUAUCAGAUGCGCCCAAAUGGGAUUAGCUAGUAGGUGAGGUAAAGGCUCACCUAGGCGACGAUCUCUAGCUGGUCUGAGAGGAUGAUCAGCCACAUUGGGACUGAGACACGGCCCAGACUCCUACGGGAGGCAGCAGUAGGGAAUAUUGCACAAUGGAGGAAACUCUGAUGCAGCCAUGCCGCGUGUGUGAAGAAGGCCUUCGGGUUGUAAAGCACUUUCGGAGGGGAGGAGAAUGACGUUACCCUCAGAAGAAGCACCGGCUAACUCCGUGCCAGCCGCCGC